Molecule: ribosomal RNA, 339 nt
Filed under: Kampimodromus aberrans
Lineage: Eukaryota; Metazoa; Arthropoda; Arachnida; Mesostigmata; Phytoseiidae
Description: partial 12S ribosomal RNA
Source: RNAcentral
GAAACUUAAGUUAAUUGGCGGCUUUUUAAAAAUAUUUAGAGGAAUUUAUUCUGUAGAGGAUUAUACACCAAAAUCUUACUUUUAAUUGUAUUAUACAGUUUGUAUACCUCUGUUUUAAUAUAUAUGGUUAUAUAUUGUCACAUUUUUAUGAAGGAUAUUUCAGGGAAAGGUGCAGCUUAUGUAAAAGGUUGAAAUAAAUUAUAUUAAUUUAUAUUUAACAGUUUUAUUAUUGUAAAAUAAUAAUUAAGAAAAAUUUAAUAGUAAAUUUUGUGUAUUAGGCAUAUUUGAAUAUUUUUUUAAAGUGUACAAAUUGCCCCGUCACUCUCUUAUUGAGAUAAG